RNAcentral lists this ribosomal RNA (491 nucleotides) under uncultured bacterium. RNAcentral describes it as "partial 16S ribosomal RNA". It matches the Rfam family "Bacterial small subunit ribosomal RNA", at positions 29 to 507 of the family's 1533-position model. The record is from RNAcentral.
AGUGAACGCUGGCGGUAGGCCUAACACAUGCAAGUCGAACGGCAGCACAGUAAGAGCUUGCUCUUACGGGUGGCGAGUGGCGGACGGGUGAGGAAUACAUCGGAAUCUACUUUUUCGUGGGGGAUAACGUAGGGAAACUUACGCUAAUACCGCAUACGACCUACGGGUGAAAGCAGGGGAUCUUCGGACCUUGCGCGAUUGAAUGAGCCGAUGUCGGAUUAGCUAGUUGGCGGGGUAAAGGCCCACCAAGGCGACGAUCCGUAGCUGGUCUGAGAGGAUGAUCAGCCCCACUGGAACUGAGACACGGCCAGACUCCUACGGGAGGCAGCAGUGGGGAAUAUUGGACAAUGGGCGCAAGCCUGAUCCAGCCAUACCGCGUGGGUGAAGAAGGCCUUCGGGUUGUAAAGCCCUUUUGUUGGGAAAGAAAAGCAGCAGGUUAAUACCCCGCUGUUCUGACGGUACCCAAAGAAUAAGCACCGGCUAACUUCGUG